AUUAUUACAUGGAUGUAUAAAAAUUAAAUAUAUAGUUACAUAUGAAAACACACAUGUUAAAUUUUAUUUUAUUUUUAAGGAUUAUGAAGAAGAAAUUUUUAGAUUAAAAAAAAUAAUCAAGGAAAGGGAAGAUGAAAAUAUGGAAUUAAGGGUAGGAAGUUAUUAUAUAUAAACUCGUCUGUUAAUUUUUUUUUUUUUAUCAUAUAUUUUUAUCAUAUAUUUUUAUUAACAAUUUUAUAUUAAUUAUUUAUAUUUUAUAAUUUAUAAAUAAAAAUAAAAUAAAAAAUUUAACGUAUUUUAGGUUAACUUCCGAGAAUUACUGGAAGAAAAAUGCAAAUUAGAGGAAGAUAUUGAAAAUUAUGAGAAGGCUAUCUACGAAAUUAACGAAAAUACAACUGUGUUGAAAGAAGCACAUCAGGUAUAAGUAUUUAUCUUUUGUCUGUGAAUAUACAUAUGUAUAUAUAUAUGUAACUAUCUCUAUAUUUCAACAAAAGUGGUCGGCACAUACGGCACUUUUCUUUUUUUUUCAACAGUGACUCAUUAUAUAUAUAUAAAUGAUUUUUUUUUAUUGUUUUUUUUUAGGAAGAAGUAAAGGAAAUUCAACAAGAAAACUGGAAUCUUUAUUUACAGAUAGAUUUGCUUAAGGAAAACUUAAAUAUUUUGGAAGAAAAAUGUAAUCAGUUACAGGAUUUUAAUGAAGAUAAAACUAAAAACAUUGAUAUUUUAAAUAAAGAAGUAUGGGACUUAAAGGUAAAAACAAAUAAAUAAAUAAAUAAAUAAAUAAACAAAUAAAUAUAUAUAUAUAUACGUAUGUGAACGGAAUAACAUUGCAUUUGUUUUAAUGUUUUUGUUGGAUAAUACAAUAUUUUAUUUUUUCAUUUUUCUGUGGGAAAUUUGUUUUUCUACUAUAUAUAUUAAUUAGGAUAAGAAAACGACGUAUGCAAUAGAAAUUGACAAAAUUUUAAUAGAAAAAAAUAAUAUAAGAAUUGAAAGAGAAGAAUUCGAUAAAUCUAAAACAGAAUUUAAAAUAAUAGAAGAAAAGUUAUAUGAAGAAAAAAUAGAAUUUGAAAAGAACAAAGAUGAGUUUUUAAAGGAAGCAGAACAACUAAAAAAAAGUAUAGACACAUUGGAAAAAGAAAAAAAAGAAAUAUUGGAAAAUAAAAAAGAGUUAGAAAAAGAUAAACAAAGACUAGAAGAAAAUAUACAAAAACUAGAAAAUGAAAAAGUUCAACAAGAAAAUAAUAUGAAAAAUAUCAUCAUAAAGUAUAACAUUUUACAAAAAGAACAUGAUAAUCUUAUAACAGAAAAUUCGAAUAAAGAACAUACGUUAUUAGAAAAGGAACAAAAAGUGAAUAUAGUAGAAAAGAAGAACGAAAUAUACAAGGUUAAAUAUUUUAAAAAAAUAAAAAUUAUAAUAACAUACACUGCGUUUAACUUAGUAUCAUCAUAA
RNAcentral lists this long non-coding RNA (1450 nucleotides) under Piliocolobus tephrosceles (Ugandan red Colobus). RNAcentral's name for it is "lncRNA (ENSPTEG00000001853.1)". The record is from RNAcentral. Lineage: Eukaryota; Metazoa; Chordata; Mammalia; Primates; Cercopithecidae.